AUUAAACGCUGGCGGCAUGCCUUACACAUGCAAGUCGAACGGCAGCGACGGGGGCAACCCUGGUGGCGAGUGGCGAACGGGUGAGUAAAGCAUCGGAACGUGCCCUGGAGUGGGGGAUAACGUAGCGAAAGUUACGCUAAUACCGCAUAUUCUGUGAGCAGGAAAGCAGGGGAUCGCAAGACCUUGCGCUCUGGGAGCGGCCGAUGUCGGAUUAGCUAGUUGGUGGGGUAAAGGCCUACCAAGGCGACGAUCCGUAGCGGGUCUGAGAGGAUGAUCCGCCACACUGGGACUGAGACACGGCCCAGACUCCUACGGGAGGCAGCAGUGGGGAAUUUUGGACAAUGGGCGAAAGCCUGAUCCAGCCAUACCGCGUGAGUGAAGAAGGCCUCGGUUGUAAGAC
This 400-nucleotide ribosomal RNA is filed under the name uncultured bacterium. Its description in RNAcentral is "bacterial SSU rRNA". It matches the Rfam family "Bacterial small subunit ribosomal RNA", at positions 29 to 431 of the family's 1533-position model. The record is from RNAcentral.